AUCAAACGGGACCAAACUCAAAGAACUCUCCUUUUUUUCUAUUGUUUUUCUCUAAAUUUUCUAACCUUUGUUUCACAUGUUCUUCUACUGCUUUUUUUCAAAAUAUUUUUAAUCUUCUCUUCUUUUCACUUGCUCUCCCUCACUAUUUUCCUUGUUUUUUUUCUUAUUCUCUUUUUGUUGUCAGUCUCUCUCCAUUCCUUUUUUUUUGUUGUUGUUUUUCAAUCUCCUUUUUUUCUUCCGUUUCAUUUUGGUUUUAU
RNAcentral lists this long non-coding RNA (257 nucleotides) under Capsicum annuum. Its description in RNAcentral is "long non-coding RNA (CANN_LNC019993)". The record is from RNAcentral. Lineage: Eukaryota; Viridiplantae; Streptophyta; Magnoliopsida; Solanales; Solanaceae.